RNAcentral lists this unclassified non-coding RNA (592 nucleotides) under Hevea brasiliensis (rubber tree). The record is from RNAcentral. Lineage: Eukaryota; Viridiplantae; Streptophyta; Magnoliopsida; Malpighiales; Euphorbiaceae.
ACCUCCACUCUUGAUGAGAUUGAGGGACCCUUCGAGGUUGCCCCUGACGGUACUGUCAAGUUCGAAGAGAAGGAUGGUAUUGACUACGCCGCCGUAACAGUGCAGCUGCCUGGAGGGGAGCGUGUGCCGUUCUUGUUCACCGUGAAGCAGCUGGUGGCUUCCGGGAAGCCGGAAAGCUUCAGCGGGUCAUACCUCGUGCCAAGCUACCGGGGUUCGUCGUUCCUUGACCCUAAGGGCAGGGGAGGGUCUGCCGGUUAUGACAAUGCCGUGGCACUGCCCGCUGGAGGUAGAGGUGAUGAGGAGGAGCUCGUGAAAGAGAAUAUAAAGGAUGUGUCUUCUUCAACUGGGAAGAUUACUCUCAGUGUAACCAAAAGUAAGCCAGAGACUGGAGAAGUGAUUGGGGUGUUUGAGAGCAUUCAGCCCUCUGAUACUGAUUUGGGUUCCAAAGCUCCGAAGGAUGUGAAGAUCCAGGGGAUCUGGUAUGCUCAGCUUGAAUAGUAGAGAGUGGAUUCUUCGGUGGAUUUAGGGCUCUUGUUGCUUCAAAUGAAUGUGUUAUUACCAUCUUUUAUUCUCUGUUCGAUUGAAGGUAUAU